GUGGGGAAUCUUAGACAAUGGGGGAAACCCUGAUCUAGCCAUGCCGCGUGAGCGAUGAAGGCCUUAGGGUUGUAAAGCUCUUUCAGCUGGGAAGAUAAUGACUGUACCAGCAGAAGAAGCCCCGGCUAACUCCGUGCCAGCAGCCGCGGUAAUACGGAGGGGGCUAGCGUUGUUCGGAAUUACUGGGCGUAAAGCGCACGUAGGCGGACCGGAAAGUCAGAGGUGAAAUCCCAGGGCUCAACCUUGGAACUGCCUUUGAAACUCCUGGUCUUGAGGUCGAGAGAGGUGAGUGGAAUUCCGAGUGUAGAGGUGAAAUUCGUAGAUAUUCGGAGGAACACCAGUGGCGAAGGCGGCUCACUGGCUCGAUACUGACGCUGAGGUGCGAAAGCGUGGGGAGCAAACAGGAUUAGAAACCCUAGUAGUCC
RNAcentral lists this ribosomal RNA (425 nucleotides) under uncultured bacterium. Its description in RNAcentral is "partial 16S ribosomal RNA". It matches the Rfam family "Bacterial small subunit ribosomal RNA", at positions 354 to 796 of the family's 1533-position model. The record is from RNAcentral.